UGUUGCGCAUUCACUUGCCUCCAUGGCUAAGUGGCUUAACCCCAACGAUGCUGUGAACACUCCAAUGGAAUGACGUUUGACAUAAUCAAAGAUCAAGGACUUAACCACAAGACAACAACGAUGUCUCAGGUCAAAUGACUACUUUGCAUUAUCCCAACCAUGAGUUCUCAUGUGACAUGACUAUGAGAACUCUUCGUUGAUCGUGUUCAGUGAACUCAUUCUCUAUUGAGCACCUACGUACUUGUCUUGAUGUCACACACACCAAUGACUCGAGACUAGUCACUCUCCCUGAGAGAAGAUACAACACGUACUGAUCUUAACGGACUGUCAAUGCCCAAUUGGCAAUCCUAUGAUCAGGAACGUUUAGG
RNAcentral lists this long non-coding RNA (368 nucleotides) under Malus domestica (apple). RNAcentral's name for it is "long non-coding RNA (MDOM_LNC001847)". Lineage: Eukaryota; Viridiplantae; Streptophyta; Magnoliopsida; Rosales; Rosaceae. The record is from RNAcentral.